Molecule: ribosomal RNA, 253 nt
Filed under: uncultured bacterium
Lineage: Bacteria
Description: partial 16S ribosomal RNA
Rfam family: Bacterial small subunit ribosomal RNA
Source: RNAcentral
UACGGGAGUGGCAAGCGUUAUCCGGAAUCAUUGGGCGUAAAGCGUCCGCAGGUGGCUUUGUAAGUCUGCCGUUAAAGCGUGGAGCUUAACUCCAUUUCAGCGGUGGAAACUACAAGGCUUGAGUGUGGUAGGGGCAGAGGGAAUUCCCGGUGUAGCGGUGAAAUGCGUAGAUAUCGGGAAGAACACCAGUGGCGAAGGCGCUCUGCUGGGCCAUAACUGACACUCAUGGACGAAAGCCAGGGGAGCGAAAGGG